Molecule: ribosomal RNA, 1350 nt
Filed under: uncultured bacterium
Lineage: Bacteria
Description: bacterial SSU rRNA
Rfam family: Bacterial small subunit ribosomal RNA
Source: RNAcentral
UAGAGUUUGAUCCUGGCUCAGGAUGAACUCUGGCGGCGUGCUUAACACAUGCAAGUUAUACGGGUGUAGCAAUACACAAGUAGCGGACGGGUGAGUAAUGCACAAGAACUUAUCUCUUAGAGAGAGACAACUGUGGGAAACCAGAGCUAAUAUCUCGUAGGCCGAAAGGUGAAAGUAGCAAUACGCUUUGAGAGAGGCUUGUGUCCUAUCAGGUAGUUGGUGAGAUAAAAGCUUACCAAGCCGAAGACGGGUAACCGGACUGAGAGGUUGUACGGUCACAUUGGAACUGAGACACGGUCCAGACUCCUACGGGAGGCAGCAGUGGGGAAUAUUGGGCAAUGGGCGAAAGCCUGACCCGGCGACGCCGCGUGAGGGAAGAAAGCCUUCGGGUUGUAAACCUCUGUUGAAAGGGAAGAAAAGAAUGACGGUACCUUUCGAGGAAGCUCCGGCUAACUACGUGCCAGCAGCCGCGGUAAUACGUAGGGAGCGAGCGUUGUCCGGAAUUACUGGGCGUAAAGGGCACGUAGGCGGUGUUUCAAGUUGUCUGUAAAAAACGUGGGCUUAACUUGCGUGUGCAGACAAAACUGGAACGCUAGAGGCGUGAAGAGGCAGACAGAAUUUCUGGUGUAGCGGUGAAAUGCGUAGAUAUCAGGAAGAAUAUCGGUGGCGAAGGCGGUCUGCUGGUCACGAACUGACGCUGAGGUGCGAAAGCUAGGGGAGCAAACGGGAUUAGAUACCCUGGUAGUCCCGACCUUAAACGGUGCACACUCGGGGUGGGGCCAUUUCACCGGUCCCGUCCCUUAGCUAACGCGUUAAGUGUGCCGCCUGGGGAGUACGGCCGCAAGGCUAAAACUCAAAGAAAUUGACGGGGGCCCGCACAAGCAGAGGAGCAUGUGGCUUAAUUCGAUGCAACGCGAAGAACCUUACCUGGAUUUGACAUCGUCGGCAAUGCCUUAUGAAAGUUUGGCGGAGGUUAUCCGAUAGACAGGUGCUGCAUGGCUGUCGUCAGUUCGUGCCGUGAGGUGUUUGGUUAAGUCCACCAACGAACGCAACCCCUUUGAUGUGUUGCCAUCGGGUCAAGCCGGGAACUCGCAUCAUACUGCCUGUUUACGCGAGAGGAAGGUGGGGAUGACGUCAAGUCAGUAUGGCCCUUACAUCCAGGGCUGCACACGUGCUACAAUGGCCGGUACAGAGGGACGCGAGACCGCAAGGUGGAGCCAAUCCCAGAGAGCCGGCCUCAGUUCAGAUCGGGGUCUGCAACCCGACCCCGUGAAGUCGGAUUUGCUAGUAACGGCGUAUCAGCUACGACGCCGUGAAUGCGUUCCCGGGCCUUGCACUCACCGCCGGUCA